GUACACUCCUACGGGAGGCAGCAGUGGGGAAUUUUGGACAAUGGGCGAAAGCCUGAUCCAGCAAUGCCGCGUGAGUGAAGAAGGCCUUCGGGUUGUAAAGCUCUUUUGUCAGGGAAGAAACGGUGAAAGCUAAUAUCUUUUGCUAAUGACGGUACCUGAAGAAUAAGCACCGGCUAACUACGUGCCAGCAGCCGCGGUAAUACGUAGGGUGCAAGCGUUAAUCGGAAUUACUGGGCGUAAAGCGUGCGCAGGCGGUUUUGUAAGUCUGAUGUGAAAUCCCCGGGCUCAACCUGGGAAUUGCAUUGGAGACUGCAAGGCUAGAAUCUGGCAGAGGGGGGUAGAAUUCCACGUGUAGCAGUGAAAUGCGUAGAUAUGUGGAGGAACACCGAUGGCGAAGGCAGCCCCCUGGGUCAAGAUUGACGCUCAUGCACGAAAGCGUGGGGAGCAAACAGGAUUAGAAACCCCUGUAGUCCCA
This 475-nucleotide ribosomal RNA is filed under the name uncultured organism. RNAcentral describes it as "partial 16S ribosomal RNA". It matches the Rfam family "Bacterial small subunit ribosomal RNA", at positions 331 to 797 of the family's 1533-position model. The record is from RNAcentral.